RNAcentral lists this transfer RNA (69 nucleotides) under Marmota monax (woodchuck). RNAcentral's name for it is "tRNA.Ala". The record is from RNAcentral. Lineage: Eukaryota; Metazoa; Chordata; Mammalia; Rodentia; Sciuridae.
GGUUGUGGCUCAGUGGUAGAGUGCUAGUCCAGCAUGUGUGAGGCACUGGGUUCAAUCCUCAGCAGCACA